UAGUAUGUUGAAGAAGUUUGGCAGUAAGUAGCUAUUGCAAUUUUGCAUCAAAUUUCAAACUUCAGUGUUUUAGUUUUAUUUUAUAAAAUGAAACACUUCAGCACCAAAAAGUUCCGUUUGAUUCAAAGUACAACACAAAUGAUUCCAAAAUAGAAAUCUUUAGUCACCAAAAGUGAUCAUGAUUAUUCCAGAAAGCACUAAAAUUUAAUAAAAGGGUAAAAAUACUAGACCUCCUCAUCCACGAACACUCACUCAUUUGAAGUUAACAUUGGCCCCACAAUCAUAA
Molecule: unclassified non-coding RNA, 286 nt
Filed under: Hevea brasiliensis (rubber tree)
Lineage: Eukaryota; Viridiplantae; Streptophyta; Magnoliopsida; Malpighiales; Euphorbiaceae
Source: RNAcentral